RNAcentral lists this ribosomal RNA (468 nucleotides) under uncultured bacterium. Its description in RNAcentral is "partial 16S ribosomal RNA". It matches the Rfam family "Bacterial small subunit ribosomal RNA", at positions 28 to 507 of the family's 1533-position model. The record is from RNAcentral.
GACGAACGCUGGCGGCGUGCUUAACACAUGCAAGUCGAAUGGAAAGGCCCUGCUUUUGUGGGGUGCUCGAGUGGCGAACGGGUGAGUAACACGUGAGUAACCUGCCCUUGACUUUGGGAUAACUUCAGGAAACUGGGGCUAAUACCGGAUAGGAGCUCCUGCUGCAUGGUGGGGGUUGGAAAGUUUCGGCGGUUGGGGAUGGACUCGCGGCUUAUCAGCUUGUUGGUGGGGUAGUGGCUUACCAAGGCUUUGACGGGUAGCCGGCCUGAGAGGGUGACCGGCCACAUUGGGACUGGGAUACGGCCCAAACUCCUACGGGAGGCAGCAGUGGGGAAUAUUGCACAAUGGGCGGAAGCCUGAUGCAGCACCGCCGCGUGCGGGAUGACGGCCUUCGGGUUGUAAGCCGCUUUCGCCUGUGACGAAGCGUGAGUGACGGUAAUGGGUAAAGAAGCACCGGCUAACUACGUG